AACGCGAAGAACCUUACCUACCCUUGACAUCCUCGGAAUCUGCUAGAGAUAGCGGAGUGCCUUCGGGAGCCGAGAGACAGGUGCUGCAUGGCUGUCGUCAGCUCGUGUUGUGAGAUGUUGGGUUAAGUCCCGUAACGAGCGCAACCCCUGUCCUUAGUUGCCAACACGUAAAGGUGGGAACUCUAAGGAGACUGCCGGUGACAAACCGGAGGAAGGUGGGGAUGACGUCAAGUCAUCAUGGCCUUUAUGGGUAGGGCCACACACGUGCUACAAUGGUCGGUACAAAGGGAAGCGAACACGCGAGUGGGAGCAAAUCUCAGAAAACCGAUCGUAGUCCGGAUUGGAGUCUGGAACUCGACUCCAUGAAGUUGGAAUCGCUAGUAAUCGCGGAUCAGAACGCCGCGGUGAAUACGUUCCCGGGCCUUGUA
RNAcentral lists this ribosomal RNA (428 nucleotides) under uncultured Gammaproteobacteria bacterium. Its description in RNAcentral is "bacterial SSU rRNA". It matches the Rfam family "Bacterial small subunit ribosomal RNA", at positions 958 to 1385 of the family's 1533-position model. Lineage: Bacteria; Pseudomonadati; Pseudomonadota; Gammaproteobacteria. The record is from RNAcentral.